This 483-nucleotide ribosomal RNA is filed under the name uncultured bacterium. Its description in RNAcentral is "partial 16S ribosomal RNA". It matches the Rfam family "Bacterial small subunit ribosomal RNA", at positions 30 to 507 of the family's 1533-position model. The record is from RNAcentral.
AUUGAACGCUGGCGGCAGGCCUAACACAUGCAAGUCGAGCGGAUGAAGGGAGCUUGCUCCUGGAUUCAGCGGCGGACGGGUGAGUAAUGCCUAGGAAUCUGCCUGGUAGUGGGGGAUAACGUCCGGAAACGGGCGCUAAUACCGCAUACGUCCUGAGGGAGAAAGUGGGGGAUCUUCGACCUCACGCUAUCAGAUGAGCCUAGGUCGGAUUAGCUAGUUGGUGGGGUAAAGGCCUACCAAGGCGACGAUCCGUAACUGGUCUGAGAGGAUGAUCAGUCACACUGGAACUGAGACACGGUCCAGACUCCUACGGGAGGCAGCAGUGGGGAAUAUUGGACAAUGGGCGAAAGCCUGAUCCAGCCAUGCCGCGUGUGUGAAGAAGGUCUUCGGAUUGUAAAGCACUUUAAGUUGGGAGGAAGGGCAGUAAGUUAAUACCUUGCUGUUUUGACGUUACCAACAGAAUAAGCACCGGCUAACUUCGUG